RNAcentral lists this unclassified non-coding RNA (2365 nucleotides) under Leishmania donovani. RNAcentral describes it as "gene:LdHU3.29.0460(CDS-product:TPR_repeat/Tetratr icopeptide_repeat_putative)". Lineage: Eukaryota; Euglenozoa; Kinetoplastea; Trypanosomatida; Trypanosomatidae. The record is from RNAcentral.
GAUAACGUAGCAGCCAAUCAACCCGUUUUGUGUCUGUGCGUCGACCCUUUAUAAUUCUCCCGCCGCACGCAGGCACACAAUACUCUCUCUAAGCGGCUUUCGCUCAUUCCACGUGCGUGAUCGAAGGGGAAAACAACAUCCGAAGCACACGCAUCACGCACGCGUUCUCUUCACCGCCAUGCCUGCCUACAGCGACGCUGAUGUGGCGGCGCUGAACCGCAUGUUGAAGGAGCUGCGCCGUCACCCCGACGACAUCCAUCUCCGUGAGCUUAUCGCUCUCAAAGAGUGGGCGAUGGAGGUCGGCGCCUGCUUUCCUGCUGCUGCCGCGCCUCCGGCGUCGGCUGCGGCGGCCGCUGCCCAGGGCGAUGCCGAGAGCGAGUCCGAUGAUGAGCGCUGGACGCUGAGCGAUGGGGAGCCGGAGGCGAUCCCUGCGAAGAACGGAGAGCCGUCUGAUGCAGACGUGGAUGCCGCCAUGGCUGCAAAGGGCGAGGCCGUGGAGCUGCACGGCGAAGGCAAGCAGGAGGAGGCGAUCGCCAAAAUGGGCGAGGCGCUAACGUACAACCCCAGCAAUGCCAUGUACUGGGGAAUGCGCGCGCUGUAUCACCUGGAAUUCAACAAGCCGCGCGCGGCCCUGCACGACGCCAACAAGGCUCUCGAGCUCAAUCCGCAGAACGUGCGCGCGCUGCGUGUGCGCGGCACCGUGAACCGCCACCUUGGCCACUGGGAGGACUCCCUGAAGGACCUCAGCGCCGCCCAGGCGAUCGAUUACGAUGACAAGACGAACGAAACGCUCAAGUACGUCCAGUCCCGCGCCACACACCGCCACAGGCGCCAACUGUUGCGGCAGCACGCUGAGGAGGAGGCCGCUGCAAGACGGCAGGAGGAGCUGCGCCGUCAGCGCCAGAUGGAAGCCGAGAAGGCUGCAGCGGCUGCGGAGGCGCAGACGGCGUCGGGGAGCAUGCCCGGUGGCAUGCCUCGCGGCUUUCCUGGUGGCGUGCCUGGCGGGAUGCCGGGAGGGAUGCCGCCUGGUAUGGAGUCCGUCCUACAGGACCCCGAGAUCAUGGCCGCCAUGCAGGACCCCGAGGUGGCGCCGAAACUGGCUCAGAUGAUGCAGAACCCCAUGGCCGCGAUGAGCAUGAUGAACGACCCAAAGGUGGGCCCUGUCAUGCAGAAGAUCAUGGCGAAGAUGAUGGGCGGAGGAGGUAUGCCAGGCGGCAUGGGUGGCAUGGGUGGCAUGGGCGGUAUGGGUGGCGGGAUGCCGGGUGGCUUUCAGGGUGCUGGUGGCGUGCCCCCUCACCGUGGUGCUGCUGACGGCGCGUCGGGUUCAACCCGGAGAGACGAUCUCGACUAAGACUGCAGGUGGCACGGCAGACCAAGUUCGAGGAAGGUGGAGAAUAGAACCAAGCGUGGAAUGCACUUGAUCGAACAGCCGUGGUCCCCCGCUUUACCGCAGCGUGCUUUCGUCUAUUAAGGAGUGGCAUCUAAACCAUCGCAUGCAUAUCCUCUCUCUCCCUCUUUCGGUUAUCUGUGCCCCCUGCGCCUUCUCUCUCCCCUCUGGUUCGCCUCUCUUGCACGCCUUCUCGCUUCUGUAUAUCGCUUCUUCUAACGCUUUACUUGUUUUGUUUCUCGCCUUUUCUUUUUCAUGCUUCUCUUGUCGUUUUGAUGCACACAUGCACUGCACCUCCUCUCCCUCCACCACCCUCUGUGUCUGUGUGUGUUUCUCUCUCUCGCCACGCGACAGCAUGGAGGUCUGGCGCGCGUGUUUGUGUGUGUGUGUGUGGGGGGGGGCUGGCGAUGGAGUUGGUACUUGCACCGCCUGUUCACCGGCCAGCAGUAUUUCUUUCGGCUCGGGUGUGUGCAUUAUUGCUCUUUGCGGUCCCUUCCCUCGCUCAGGUCUCUGCGGAAGGUGGACGGCAGCCAUGUCUCAGCACCGUGGCCGAAUCGCGAUACUCCUUUAUCUCCUCUGGUUCCUAAAUACCUCGUAUAGGCGCGUCGCAACGCCCGACAGUCUGCGCAAGAAAGGGAGCGAGUGCAGACGGCAAGGACUCAUCCAGAGGUAAAAGACAACAGCCCUCUAUGUCUCGCUCGCAAGAGCUUGCUAGGCGGAUGUGCGCACGUAGUUGGGCGAGUGGAAUGGAAGCACAUCUUCUCCUCUGGCUAGCCUCAUGCCAGGCUGGCACCUGGCUGGUCUCUCCUAGUUAGCGGUCGCGCUUAUCACCCGCGCCGAGGCGCGACUGCUGAUAUGUGCUUGCAAGCGUGACGCGGAAUACUGCGCAGGGCUUCUCGUUUUUUUUUUUUGUUUCACGGAUCUGGCUUUUGUGACGGGAUUGCUCAGCAUAUCUCUUGCUGUGCCGUCAUCUCUUCG